UCCCUAUAGCCCAAAUGGUAAAGAAUCUGCCUGCAAUGCAGGAGACCCAGGUUGAAUCCCUGGGUAGGGAA
RNAcentral lists this transfer RNA (71 nucleotides) under Bos taurus (domestic cattle). It matches the Rfam family "tRNA". From Rfam's summary of the family: Transfer RNA (tRNA) molecules are approximately 80 nucleotides in length. Their secondary structure includes four short double-helical elements and three loops (D, anti-codon, and T loops). Further hydrogen bonds mediate the characteristic L-shaped molecular structure. tRNAs have two regions of fundamental functional importance: the anti-codon, which is responsible for specific mRNA codon recognition, and the 3' end, to which the tRNAs corresponding amino acid is attached (by aminoacyl-tRNA synthetases). tRNAs cope with the degeneracy of the genetic code in two manners: having more than one tRNA (with a specific anti-codon) for a particular amino acid; and 'wobble' base-pairing, i.e. permitting non-standard base-pairing at the 3rd anti-codon position. RNAcentral also lists the same sequence under 1 other name. Lineage: Eukaryota; Metazoa; Chordata; Mammalia; Artiodactyla; Bovidae. The record is from Rfam by way of RNAcentral.